This 600-nucleotide unclassified non-coding RNA is filed under the name Aspergillus sp. IFM 54239. Its description in RNAcentral is "Emericella sp. IFM 54239 partial contains ITS1, 5.8S rRNA and ITS2". The stretch from base 214 to 367 matches the Rfam family "5.8S ribosomal RNA". Lineage: Eukaryota; Fungi; Ascomycota; Eurotiomycetes; Eurotiales; Aspergillaceae. The record is from RNAcentral.
UUGGAAGUUAAAAAUUGUAACAAAGGUUUCCGUAGGGGAACCUGCGGAAGGAUCAUUACCGAGUGCGGGCUGCCUCCGGGCGCCCAACCUCCCACCCGUGACUACCUAACACUGUUGCUUCGGCGGGGAGCCCCCCAGGGGGCGAGCCGCCGGGGACCACUGAACUUCAUGCCUGAGAGUGAUGCAGUCUGAGCCUGAAUACAAAUCAGUCAAAACUUUCAACAAUGGAUCUCUUGGUUCCGGCAUCGAUGAAGAACGCAGCGAACUGCGAUAAGUAAUGUGAAUUGCAGAAUUCAGUGAAUCAUCGAGUCUUUGAACGCACAUUGCGCCCCCUGGCAUUCCGGGGGGCAUGCCUGUCCGAGCGUCAUUGCUGCCCUCAAGCCCGGCUUGUGUGUUGGGUCGUCGUCCCCCCCCCCGGGGGACGGGCCCGAAAGGCAGCGGCGGCACCGUGUCCGGUCCUCGAGCGUAUGGGGCUUUGUCACCCGCUCGAUUAGGGCCGGCCGGGCGCCAGCCGGCGUCUCCAACCUUAUUUUUCUCAGGUUGACCUCGGAUCAGGUAGGGAUACCCGCUGAACUUAAGCAUAUCAAAUAAGCGGAGGAA